Molecule: ribosomal RNA, 854 nt
Filed under: Batumica maiae
Lineage: Eukaryota; Metazoa; Mollusca; Gastropoda; Stylommatophora; Hygromiidae
Description: partial 16S ribosomal RNA
Source: RNAcentral
AUUAUCUAUAAUUAUUAAGUAUUAUAUUUAACGAAUUCAGACGAGCUAAAUUUUAAGCUAUAUAGAAGUAUAUUUCUUGUUGUUACAUAACCAAAGUAUUAUUAGAAUUUAGGGGUGAUAGGCCUAUCAAGUCUGAUGAUAUCUUUUUAUCAAAAAAAAAUAUUUAGUAUAAUAUCAAAUUAAAAAUGAUUAGGUUUUUAAUAUACAUUAAUUAAAUUUAAAAUCUUAUAUUGUAUUUUUAAUAAAUACAUUUUUAUGUAUAUAAAUAUUACUUAUAUAGUUUUGUGUAAAAUAUUUGAUUAUUUAAGUUGUCUAUCUUAUUAAAUUAAUUAUGAUAAUAUUAGUAUUAAAUUAAACAAUAUUAAGGAACUCGGCAAAUAGACUUCUCAACUGUUUAUCAAAAACAUGCCUUUAGUUAAAAUUAAAGGUUACCUCUGCUCAAUGAUAUUUUAAAUAGCCGCAGUACCUUGACUGUGCAAAGGUAGCAUAAUCAAUUGGCUUAUAAUUGAAGUCUAGUAUGAAUGGGAUACUGUGAAGUGUCUGUCUUAUAUUUGCUAUAAAGGAACUUGCUAAUUAAGUGAAAAUACUUAAUUAUAGAAAAAAGACGAGAAGACCCUAGAAAUUUUUUUAAAAUUUACCUUUUUGAUUUUGUUGGGGCGACAGGGUUACAAAGUAAAACUAACCUUAUAUUAUAUGAAACUAAUAAGAUGAAAAAAUAAAUUACUCUAGGGAUAACAGCAUAAUUUACAUUAAGAUUGUGACCUCGAUGUUGGACUAGGGAAGUUUCUACUCAAAAAGUAGACUUGUGGGCUCUGUUCGAGCUAUAAUUCCUACAUGAUCUGAGUUCAGACCGG